This is a non-coding RNA of Chelonoidis abingdonii (Abingdon island giant tortoise), 86 nucleotides long. The record is from RefSeq and is a predicted model, not a curated record. NCBI's taxonomy places the organism in Eukaryota, Metazoa, Chordata, Testudines, Testudinidae.
UAAUUAAUAUUACUUGAAAAAAUAAUAAAGUAUUUGAUUUUGCUGUACCCAAACGAAAAGCGAGAACUGCGUUUUUCUCCGACAGU